RNAcentral lists this ribosomal RNA (434 nucleotides) under uncultured Clostridium sp. RNAcentral describes it as "partial 16S ribosomal RNA". It matches the Rfam family "Bacterial small subunit ribosomal RNA", at positions 341 to 792 of the family's 1533-position model. The record is from RNAcentral. Lineage: Bacteria; Bacillati; Bacillota; Clostridia; Eubacteriales; Clostridiaceae.
ACGGGAGGCAGCAGUGGGGAAUAUUGCACAAUGGGGGAAACCCUGAUGCAGCGACGCCGCGUGAAGGAAGAAGUAUCUCGGUAUGUAAACUUCUAUCAGCAGGGAAGAUAAUGACGGUACCUGACUAAGAAGCCCCGGCUAACUACGUGCCAGCAGCCGCGGUAGUACGUAGGGGGCAAGCGUUAUCCGGAUUUACUGGGUGUAAAGGGAGCGUAGACGGUCUUGCAAGUCUGAAGUGAAAGCCCGGGGCUCAACCCCGGAACUGCUUUGGAAACUGUAAAACUAGAGUGCAGGAGAGGUAAGCGGAAUUCCUAGUGUAGCGGUGAAAUGCGUAGAUAUUAGGAGGAACACCAGCGGCGAAGGCGGCUUACUGGACUGUAACUGACGUUGAGGCUCGAAGGCGUGGGGAGCAAACAGGAUUAGAUACCCUGGUA